Molecule: ribosomal RNA, 506 nt
Filed under: uncultured bacterium
Lineage: Bacteria
Description: partial 16S ribosomal RNA
Rfam family: Bacterial small subunit ribosomal RNA
Source: RNAcentral
AGUGAACGCUGGCGGUAGGCCUAACACAUGCAAGUCGAACGGCAGCACAGGAGAGCUUGCUCUCUGGGUGGCGAGUGGCGGACGGGUGAGGAAUACAUCGGAAUCUACUUUUUCGUGGGGGAUAACGUAGGGAAACUUACGCUAAUACCGCAUACGACCUACGGGUGAAAGCAGGGGACCUUCGGGCCUUGCGCGAUUGAAUGAGCCGAUGUCGGAUUAGCUAGUUGGUGGGGUAAAGGCCCACCAAGGCGACGAUCCGUAGCUGGUCUGAGAGGAUGAUCAGCCACACUGGGACUGAGACACGGUCCAGACGCCUACGGGAGGCAGCAGUGGGGAAUAUUGGACAAUGGGCGCAAGCCUGAUCCAGCCAUACCGCGUGGGUGAAGAAGGCCUUCGGGUUGUAAAGCCCUUUUGUUGGGAAAGAAAUCCAGCUGGCUAAUACCCGGUUGGGAUGACGGUACCCAAAGAAUAAGCACCGGCUAACUUCGUGCCAGCCGCCGCCGUAA